Non-coding RNA from Lolium perenne, 210 nucleotides. The record is from RefSeq and is a predicted model, not a curated record. NCBI's taxonomy places the organism in Eukaryota, Viridiplantae, Streptophyta, Magnoliopsida, Poales, Poaceae.
AGUUCAGAUCUCCGAGUUUCUUCUUGGAUGCCCUAUUUCACGAUGUUGAAGGGAGAAUGCAUUUGGUUUAUAUUCCAGGUUGCCUCAAACGAUUGAAAUUUACAUCAAAUGAGGCAUACAGGAGGCCGUUGGAUGGGUUCCAAUGGUUCAAGUUGUCCUGGCUGCAUUAGGUUUCAUUGUGUUUGGAGGAGGUAGUGUUGAUCCCGGUUC